UUGACCUCGGAUCAGGUAGGGAUACCCGCUGAACUUAAGCAUAUCAAUAAGCGGAGGAAAAGAAACCAACCGGGAUUACCUCAGUAACGGCGAGUGAAGCGGUACUAGCUCAAAUUUGAAAUCUGGCGCCCUCGGCGUCCGAAUUGUAAUUUGUAGACGAUGCUUUGGGUUGGGGCCCGGCCUAAGUUCCUUGGAACAGGACGUCAUAGAGGGUGAGAAUCCCGUAUGUGGCAGGUGCCCCCCGCCCGUGUAAAGCUCGUUCGACGAGUCGAGUUGUUUGGGAAUGCAGCUCAAAAUGGGAGGUAAAUUUCUUCUAAAGCUAAAUACUGGCCAGAGACCGAUAGCGCACAAGUAGAGUGAUCGAAAGAUGAAAAGCACUUUGGAAAGAGAGUUAAACAGUACGUGAAAUUGUUGAAAGGGAAGCGCUUGCAAUCAGACUUGGGGGCCGUGGAUCAUCCAGGCUUCGGGCCUGGUGCACUCGGCGGCCCACAGGCCAGCAUCGGUUCGGGUGGUUGGAGAAAGGCCCUAGGAACGUAGCUCCUCUCGGGGAGUGUUAUAGCCUAGGGCGCCAUGCAGCCUACCUGGACCGAGGACCGCGCUUCGGCUAGGAUGCUGGCGUAAUGAUUGUAAGCGACCCGUCUUGAAACACGGACCAAGGAGUCUAACAUCUAUGCGAGUGUUUGGGUGGUAAACCCAUGCGCGAAAUGAAAGUGAACGGAGGUGAGAACCCUGAAGGGUGCAUCAUCGACCGAUCCUGAUGUCU
Molecule: ribosomal RNA, 763 nt
Filed under: Parauncinula polyspora
Lineage: Eukaryota; Fungi; Ascomycota; Leotiomycetes; Helotiales; Erysiphaceae
Description: eukaryotic LSU rRNA
Rfam family: Eukaryotic large subunit ribosomal RNA
Source: RNAcentral